UAGUGAAUCUUCCGCAAUGUACGCAAGUCUGACGGAGCAACGCCUCGUGAGUGAAGAAUUAUUUCGGUUCUUAAAACUCUGUUGUUAGAGAAGAACAUCGCAUAGACUAACUUUUAUGCUUGUGACUUUAUCUAACCAGAAAUCCACGGCUAACUACGUGCCAGCAGCCGCUGUAAUACUUAGUUGGCAAGCUUUGUCCGUAUUUAUUGGGCGUAAAGCGAGCGCAGGCGGUCAAUUAAGUCUGAUGUGAAAGCCCCCGGCUCAACCGGGGAGGGUCAUUGGAAACUGGUUGACUUGAGUGCAGAAGAGGAGAGUGGAAUUCCAUGUGUAGCGGUGAAAUGCGUAGAUAUAUGGAGGAACACCAGUGGCGAAGGCGACUCUCUGGUCUGUAACUGACGCUGAGGCUCGAAAGCGUGGGUAGCAAACAGG
This 429-nucleotide ribosomal RNA is filed under the name Bacteroidota bacterium. RNAcentral's name for it is "Bacteroidetes bacterium partial 16S ribosomal RNA". It matches the Rfam family "Bacterial small subunit ribosomal RNA", at positions 355 to 776 of the family's 1533-position model. The record is from RNAcentral. Lineage: Bacteria; Pseudomonadati; Bacteroidota.